AGGAGGACAUGCGGUGGAUGGUUGUCGUGAGUUUAUGCCAGCUGGAACCGAAGGUACCAUCGACGCCCUAAAAUGCGCCGCUUGUGGCUGUCACCGUAACUUCCACCGCAAGGAAUUACCUUACUUCCACCACCUCGCGCCGCCGCCGCCGCGGGGAUUCUACCGCCUUCCAGCUCCGGUGAGUUACAGACCAUCACCGUCACAAGCUUCUCCUGUCCAGCUGGCUCUUCCUCCACCAGCAGAAGAUCGAAUGGAGACUUCUUCUGCGGAGGCAGGAGGGAUGAGGAAGAGGUUUAGGACUAAGUUCACGGCGGAGCAGAAGGAGAGGAUGUUAGGUUUAGCUGAGAGGAUUGGUUGGAGAAUUCAGAGACAAGAUGAUGAAGUGAUUCAGAGGUUUUGCCAAGAGACUGGAGUUCCGAGACAAGUGCUUAAGGUUUGGUUACAUAACAACAAACACACUCGUGGUAUGUCGUCUUCAUCACCACUUGAUCACCAUCAGAAUCCAACUCUUCCUCCUCCUCCAUGAACAAGAGCAACCAUGCAUGAUUCUUGAGUUUCUCGAUCACUACUAUUGUUUAGUUUGUACCCAUCUUCGUUUGAUAACGAUGUUGUUGAUUAUCAUUCUGGUUAAUUGCGUUUUUCGUUAUUAACAUCCAUAGUCUCUUGGCAAAUCCUUGAGUUGUCUAAGCUAUUUAUUAGUCAGGUCUUUAGUAACAUCACAUGUGUCAGUGUUUUUUUUUUUUUGAAUAAAUGUUAAAUUAAUUCAAGAAAAAAACUUUUUUACAAUGACUGCAACAUAAGUUGAGUGUUUAGAGUGUUUCUUAAGCAUGUGUCAGUGUUUAAACUUUAACUUUAGCAUGUUUGUCUAUGAAUUUAUAUAUACAUAUAAACUCGUGUAUUUAUAUUAGUGUGUAUUCGUUAGUGCAUGAUUACUGUUUUUGUGUGUAAUCUUCUCCGUUAGUGCUUCCUUAAUUAGCACUGCUUGACAUUGUUCUUAUUUCUUAAGUUCUUGGUGUCUGAAGAGUUAUUAUAUUUACUUGCUUCACCAUUAAUAUUUCCCAUAUACACACGCAUUUAUAGAUCUGAUCAUGUUCUUGUUUCUGAAGUUCUACGUUUGUAAGAGUUAAUAUAUUUUCUUGAUCAUCAUUUUGCACACACACACACAAAGAUAUUAGAAAAUAUAUAUCUGGGGAAGGUGACAUGUGGGCUCUUUGGAAGCAUGAAGGAGAAGAGAUAAAAACAUAUGGGCACACGUACAAAACUACAUGGUAUCAAUGACGCUGUUCUACCAAAUCCCUACACUCUCACAUGAAAUCAGUUUUGUUUUUCUAGUUAAAGAACAUUAAUCAUUUUUUAUUUCACUUUUUGUUUGUUUAAUUUCUACAUACAUACUACUCAAAAGUUAAUUUUGAUAAUAAAAAAAGAAGAAGUUAAUUUGGGUCAUUUUACAUUUAUUUUCAUAGAGAAAUGACCUUUUCCAUUUGAUAUGUAUAUUUAAUAUCCUCUUAAACAAAUCAUUUUAGUAGUAAUAACGGCAAAUUGAAGAAGUUAUAUUAAAUGUACAAGUGAUUGAGCCUCGUAGUUUUAUUCAAAUUAACGGGUUGUGAAAAACUCCAGAUACCAAAUGGAAAAAAAGUAAAUUCAAACUAAAUUCUUUUAGUAAAAAAAAACUAAAUUCAAAUGAAUGAAUUAGGGUUUCUAGUUACGACGGGUUCGACUGGUGACCAUUCUGAAAACAAUUGGAACAAAUAGAAAAUGAACGUAAAGGAAUGAAAUUGCAGGAAUAAAAAAGAAUGGUUGUUCUUUCUUAAAUUUAACAAAGAAUACUUUUGUUCUUUAUUUCUCUAAAAAAAAGAAUUGUAGGGAAUGAGAAGAAAAAUUUAUUCCUUGCGAAUGGUGAUAUUUUUAGGAACGUUAGGGAAUGCAUUAUUCCUCGCCGUUCCCUGGUCACCAUUCAUAAUGUAAUUAGACUUAUUCUUGGGUUCACCCUCUAGUGUGAACCUCUAGGUUCACCAACCAAUAGGAUUGUGUUAUUUUAUAUUUGAUAUCUUUUAAAAAAAGAAACAAAAUAUUGUCAAAUUAUAUUAUUUUUUCAAAAUUAAAAGAUAAAAAGAAAUAAAUAAAAAAUAGUAUUAAUUACAAAAAAAAAUAUUUUUAACGUCGUCGGCAAAACAUUAAACCCUAAAUCCUAAUCCCUAAACCUUAAAUUCUAAACCCUAAACUCUUGGGUAAACCCUAAACUCUAGGAUAAAUCUUAAACUCUAAAUCAAAAUCACUAAACAUUAAAACACUCAAGGGUUUAGGGUUUAGAAUUUAGGGUUUAGAGUUUAGGGUUUAAUGUUUUUAUUUAGAGUUUAGGAUUUAGGGUUUUUGAGUUGUAGGGUUUAGUGUUUUUAUUUAGAGUUUAUGAUUUAUCCAAGGGUUUAGGGUUUACCCAGGGGUUUAGAGUUUAUCCAAUGGUUUAGGGUUUAAAAUUUAGGGUUUAGGGAUUAGGGUUUAGUGUUUUGCUAACGACGUAAAAUAUAUUUUUUAAUUUUUUCUUCUGUAACUACUAAUUUUGUUUUACUUUUUUUUUUUUAUUUUAAAAACAUAAUAUAAUUUAACAAUAUUUUAUUUUUUUUAAAGAUAACGAAUUUGAAAUAAUGAAAUUCUAUUGAGGUUUGAUACUAUAGGUGAACAUAAAAGUAACUCAUGUAAUUAUAUGCAGAAGAAAGAGGGAACCAAAAUGAUUGAAAAAGGAAAGAAGACGGAGANNNNNNNNNNNNNNNNNNNNNNNNNNNNNNNNNNNNNNNNNNNNNNNNNNNNNNNNNNNNNNNNNNNNNNNNNNNNNNNNNNNNNNAAUACCAUGAUUCACUACCUACACUCAUCUAUGUUGAAAACAAAUCAAUUUUGUUAUAUUUUAAUUUAUAUCACUUAAAACUGUUUAUAAUUACAUGAUUUUAAUUUUUCGCUUAUCAAAAUAUUUUUUUUAAAAUUUAAAAAUUAUUUUUAAGAUCAGCUACACCAGAAUACUUACUUUGAAGUCGUCUGGACGACUUCCAACAUCUCAGACGACUCCGACGACUUACUAGGGCUAUAUUCGUAAAUGGCUUCUGUUUUUUUGUUUGGUCACAAGGGGAUGAGCUGUAAUUUCACAAGGUUUUUAGGUUAGUUUUGCAUUUGAUUCAAGUUUGAGUAUAUGUUUGGGGUUAAAAUCAAGUUGUGGGUUAGUUUUGGGAAAUUCCCACAAAUAGAUUUUAUUAAGUUAGUUUCCGAAGAAUAUUCAGUAAAAACUCUAUAAUAAUGUAAGGACUAAUAGAUUUUAUUUAGUUAUAGAAUUAUUAAUAUAGAAAAAAAUCAUUUUUCAAAUUUUUCUAUCUUAAAUAUAUAUAUUUUCUAAAAUAAGAAAAAUAUUUGAUUUUUGUACAUUUACAUUACUUCAAUUUUUGAAAUUCGACAUUUAUAUUUUUGGCGUAUAUAAAAUAUAUUCAUAGAUUUUAAAUGUGGCUUUAGAUAUAAUUUUACUAAAUCUCAUCAAAAUAUAUUAAGUACUAAGAAAAUAUAAAAAAAUCCAUAGUAAAGAUAAAAUAAACAAUAUAAUAGUUUUUAUGCAUACAUAAAACAUAUAUACAUGUAAAUUGUUAAUUUAAUAAGAUUAUAUAUUUACAUACAAUUUUCUAAGAAAAUAUUAUCUUAUUAUCUUAUCAAUUUAUGUUAUAUUUUGAAUUAGUUUAAUUUACCGGAGAAAUUUAUUAAUCUAUAGUGUUUAUUAUUUUAUUGAAUAAUAAGUGUAAUGUUUUUUUUACGCUGAUUUAUUAUGAUCUUACAAUUCUGAUAUGAGAAAGAUUACAUAGACGAUUCGACAACCGACAAUACUACCUGUCUUCUGAGACCUACGCCUAACUGCAUCACCUGAGCCGUCCUAUGAAGAUCCACGCCUGAUCAGAUUUACUUGCAUCAUGUUGAAGAUCUCUUGUAAGCUUUUCUUCCGUAGUCUACAUAAUUGUUUAAUAAAUCGCUUUCUUCGGGACUUAAAACUUGGAUUUAUUGUAAUCAGCAAAAUAAUACAAUAUUUUGUUUUAUUUAUAAUGAAUUGUAAUUUUUUUUGAAAAGUCGCCAACAAAAAUUCAGACCUUGAAAUUAUUAAGGGCAUUACUGAUUUCGAUGUGAUUAGACUGCCCAUCACUUUAUUGCAGAAAUAUUAAUGCAUUUAUAUUAUACCAUUGGCAUAUGGACAAAAAUAAUUAUCACGUUUAUUUAAAUUUUAUUCACUUUCUUAUUUCCCAAAAAGCUAUCCUAACACCAAAUUGACUGAAAUAGUGAUACUAACUAAUUAAUUAUAUUGGCUCUACUGCUUAGUUGACAAAAACAAGGCUACAUUGUUUUAAUUAUAGUAUUACUGUUGAAGUUAUAUUUAAAACUAGAAAGGUAAAACAAUGUAAAGAUAAAAGAAAGUCUAACAAAAUGUAGUUGAGGCAUAUUUAUUAGAUUACGAUCUCCAAUAGCAAAAUAUAUAUCUUUCAUUUUUAUAAGACAUGAUAGUUUUGACUCAAUACGCAUAUAUUUUUUCUUUUAUCUUUUCUAGAAAAUAUUAUUAAAAUAAGAUAUAAAAUUAAUUUAUGUAAUUAUAAAUAAAAUAGUGAAAUAUAAUUUACUACAUAAUUUUGAUAAAAUUAAACUCUUAUUUAAAUAUAUUAAAACAUUUUUUUUUUAAACAUGUAUGAAAUAACAACAAAAAUCUUCAAAAACAUCUUUAAAUAUUUAAAUAUUGAACAUAAACCCUUUCUCAAAAGCUAAAGAGAUAAAAGAGAAAGAGAUAACCUCUAGUUCACAAUCUCCACUUGACUCGAUGAACUUUGAAGACAACAGCAACGACGAGGAAGAAGAAGAAAUGAAUCUUCACGAGGAAGAAGAAGACAACGCCGUUUACGACUCUCCUCCUCUUCCUCCAUCGCCCCGCGUCCUCAAGGCCUCUACUGAAAGUCCUAACACCGCCGGAACAAACUCAACGGGCGGUGGAGGUUUGAUGGUGGUUCACGGCGGUUCUAGGUUCAGGUUCCGUGAGUGUCUCAAGAAUCAAGCGGUGAACAUAGGAGGACAUGCGGUGGAUGGUUGUCGUGAGUUUAUGCCAGCUGGAACCGAAGGUACCAUCGACGCCCUAAAAUGCGCCGCUUGUGGCUGUCACCGUAACUUCCACCGCAAGGAAUUACCUUACUUCCACCACCUCGCGCCGCCGACGCCGCCGGGAGCCUACCGUCUUCCAGCUCCGAUGAGUUACCGACCAUCACCGCCACAAGCUUCUCCUGUCCAGCUGGCUCUUCCUCCACC
This 5307-nucleotide long non-coding RNA is filed under the name Brassica napus (rape). RNAcentral describes it as "long non-coding RNA (BNAP_LNC022544)". The record is from RNAcentral. Lineage: Eukaryota; Viridiplantae; Streptophyta; Magnoliopsida; Brassicales; Brassicaceae.